UUAACUAUUGUAUAGUACUCAGACAUCACUAAAAUCACGAGUUGGGUCCUCCGGCGGGCACUCCCCAGCGUGAGCCGGGGGCUUGACGCGGCCCGCCAAAGCAACAAAGGUAGAGUAGACAGAGGGUUGAGCGUAACGCCCCGGGGGGUGAGCCCCGGGACGCGUCGAGGGCUUGACCUCGACCGCAUUUAAUGAUCCUUCCGCAGGUUCACCUACGGAAA
RNAcentral lists this unclassified non-coding RNA (221 nucleotides) under uncultured fungus. RNAcentral's name for it is "sequence contains ITS1". Lineage: Eukaryota; Fungi. The record is from RNAcentral.